AUGCUGCUCCCCAGUCUGCUGAGAGUAGUCAUAGCCUCCAUCUGCCUUGGAUCCGGCAUGACACAGAAGGUAACUCAAGCCCAGCCUGCCAUUUCUACGCUGGAGAAUGAGGCUGUGACCUUGGAUUGUGUAUACGAAGUUAGUGGUUCUAGUUAUUAUUUAUUCUGGUACAAACAACCACCAAGUGGAGAAAUGAUUUUCCUUAUUCAUCAGGAGUCAUACAGGAGCAGAAUGCAAAAGAGGGUCGGUAUUCUCUGAACUUCCAGAAAUCAGACCGUUCCAUCAGCCUCACCAUCAUGGCAUUACAACCUAUGGACUCAGCAGUGUACUUCUGUGCUCUGAGAGACACCACAGUGAUGCAGCACCGGUGGGAGCCCCACAAAAACCUCAGAUCUCCACAGGAGGCAUCCCCCACCUCUGAACACCUGGGAGAGUGGCAGAGCGGAAGGAGGAAGCAGGGGCUGUGCCUGGGGUGGUGGGGGUUCUGA
Odobenus rosmarus divergens (Pacific walrus) is the source of this 488-nucleotide non-coding RNA. NCBI's taxonomy places the organism in Eukaryota, Metazoa, Chordata, Mammalia, Carnivora, Odobenidae. The record is from the annotation of a RefSeq genome assembly.